Molecule: ribosomal RNA, 648 nt
Rfam family: Bacterial small subunit ribosomal RNA
GCUGGGUGGAUUAGUGGCGAACGGGUGAGUAACACGUGAGUAACCUGCCCUUAACUCUGGGAUAAGCCUGGGAAACUGGGUCUAAUACCGGAUAGGAGCGUCCACCGCAUGGUGGGUGUUGGAAAGAUUUAUCGGUUUUGGAUGGACUCGCGGCCUAUCAGCUUGUUGGUGAGGUAAUGGCUCACCAAGGCGACGACGGGUAGCCGGCCUGAGAGGGUGACCGGCCACACUGGGACUGAGACACGGCCCAGACUCCUACGGGAGGCAGCAGUGGGGAAUAUUGCACAAUGGGCGCAAGCCUGAUGCAGCGACGCCGCGUGAGGGAUGACGGCCUUCGGGUUGUAAACCUCUUUCAGUAGGGAAGAAGCGAAAGUGACGGUACCUGCAGAAGAAGCACCGGCUAACUACGUGCCAGCAGCCGCGGUAAUACGUAGGGUGCGAGCGUUAUCCGGAAUUAUUGGGCGUAAAGAGCUCGUAGGCGGUUUGUCGCGUCUGUCGUGAAAGUCCGGGGCUUAACCCCGGAUCUGCGGUGGGUACGGGCAGACUAGAGUGCAGUAGGGGAGACUGGAAUUCCUGGUGUAGCGGUGGAAUGCGCAGAUAUCAGGAGGAACACCGAUGGCGAAGGCAGGUCUCUGGGCUGUAACUGAC